GGGGAGAAGGAGGAAAGCAAUGCCUAAAACUUGCCUAUAUUAUCAAAACUCCUUUAGUCACAAAUCCAAAACACAGCACCAUAUCAGCUGUGUAUGAAAAACGUAUCUCUCAUCACAGCCAUAAACCAUCAGAGCAUUUAACCAAGUUAUUUGACCUAGUAUUUUUCAGGACUUGCAGCAGACCUAGGCUUUUUUUGAGUAGUCUCCAGAACCCUGUCUGGAUACCUAUGGCAUCUCAUAUGACAUCAGCAUACAACCAUACAGAGAUGUCAUUCAGAGCCCAGCCCUGGAAUACACCAGCUGUGAACCAGAGUUUGAUGUCAUGCACAAACUUGAUAAAGGAUGGAGCAACACUGUACACAUUUACAGACUGGGAGAGGAGUGGCUGGAGGGCAGCGCUGCAGAAAGGGAUCUGGGGAUGCUAGUCAGCAGCAGCUCUGUGCGAGUCAGCAGAAGGAAAUUGCCGUAAGAUAAACCACCACAGGGGGAACUUAACCACAUCUCUCUGCCCUCCUCACAUUUACUGUUAAAUAAAAUCCGUGUUAUUGACUUA
Molecule: long non-coding RNA, 553 nt
Organism: Vidua chalybeata
Lineage: Eukaryota; Metazoa; Chordata; Aves; Passeriformes; Viduidae
Exons: 3
Source: RefSeq, a predicted model, not a curated record